GCUAACGCGGCUUAAGCAGUUAGUAAACCUCUUUUAAAAUGGUUUUUAAAAGGGGUUUACUUUUUAAUUU
Molecule: non-coding RNA, 70 nt
Filed under: Candidatus Protochlamydia amoebophila
Lineage: Bacteria; Pseudomonadati; Chlamydiota; Chlamydiia; Parachlamydiales; Parachlamydiaceae
Source: RNAcentral